Long non-coding RNA from Bacillus rossius redtenbacheri, 460 nucleotides. RefSeq lists it as uncharacterized. The record is from RefSeq and is a predicted model, not a curated record. The transcript is spliced from 3 exons. NCBI's taxonomy places the organism in Eukaryota, Metazoa, Arthropoda, Insecta, Phasmatodea, Bacillidae.
UAUGCCGUUUUAUUGUUAUUGAAGCAACUCCGUGAUGGUGCUGGAAAUUGAAUAUUGUGGGCAUCAGGUUAUUUAUUUCCUCGUUUCCGUUUGUAUGUGAGCAAGUGCUGAUCUAAAAAAUGGUUGAUGAGUAAACCAAGAUAAUUUUGGAAGAUUGGGGUGUUUGCAGUUAAUUGGACUUGUUGCAGGGCAAUCUCUGCACAGAGGAAGAAAGUUUAGUUUUUUUUUUUGUGGAUGCAGAGAUUUUCCUUAAAAAAUCAAAUAUCAUCACUGCUUUUUUCUGUAAUUUUUUCCUGCUGCACCAUAUUCAAUGCCUCAGUAACUGGCAGUCACACAGAAAUUCAUCCAGAAGCGCAUGUUGAAAAUGAACCUACAUUAUGUCAUUAAGUUUUAUUUUUAUAAAUGGAUCUUAAUUCAUAAAUAUUGUAUUUAGUUAAUAAAUUAAAAAAAAAUAACUGGA